UUUCCAUACAACGGCUUGGUUUCGAUGGCUCAGUUUGUAUGACAGCUAUAUGCUAUAGUGGUCCAAUCUGGACAAUUAAAUUAGAUAUUGUGAAGAUAUUCCACCAAAUAAAAAAGUUUUCCAUACAAGAGUUGAUUGCGAGCGCUCAGGUGGUAUGGCAGCUAUAUGCUGCUCCCUUGGAAAGAAAAAGUGUAUAGGGUCUUUGACCUUCUUGGAGCUACAAACUUCGCGAAGAACUUAAUACAUCCUGUUAAGGGUAUAAUGAAUAACCUUUAGUAACAAUAAAGUUAGAUAUAGCGUGCUAACACUUUGAAAUGCUCUCAUACUGACAUUAGUUUAGAGUUUUAGCAACUAAACGUGUGGUUCUUUUUGUUGCUGCUUACUCUGACUAGGGUUAGUGAUAAACUUUAAAGGUUGUCACCGAAGUUGACUAACGGCUAUAAUUCUGAAUCCACUAGCUAAGCCAUAUCAACGGAUAUUGGAGAUAUAGCAGAUCAUAUUUAAAACAUAUAUAAUCAAAUAAUAUAAGCUGAUUCUUUCUUGAAGAAAAAAAAUCGUAACAUAACCUCUAACAGUAUGAUUAGCAGCCAGUACAUCGAUAAUUGGAGCCACUACUUUACCUGCUCAACAUACACCAAUGCGAUUGGAGAAUACUCUAUGCUGCAACAACAAUAAGUACAGCAUAACUUCGGAAGUGUAGAGUAAAAACGAUUCUAACUGUGGGUUGCUACUGAAAAUUGCUCCAGUUUCGGAGAGUUUUCUAAUAUCAGCGUGGAUGCAAUCAGGACUGCUUUAUUGACCGCUCAAGUCAACGGAGUGAAAUUCUUGCGAAGGAGCAGCAUUCAAAUGGAUUUUUUUCUAUCACUGGCGUUUAAUCAAGACAAAUCGGAACUAAAUUGGCCGCAAGCCAAUCAUUUAGAAAACCAUUACUGAGACGUAAAAAUAAUUCGAGGCGACAGUGCCAUAACGUUCAAAAUUUAAAUGGAAAAUUGCUGUUUCCAACUUUAUAGACUAAUUAUACAUUAUACCAAUUCACCAAUACCGGCUGCCAUUGACAAAUACAUACAAUGUUUUUACUUAAGUUGAGCAACGCCAAGUUGGAAACAUUUCUUGUUUACGCACAUAAAACUAUAAUAGAUGUGUAAGCAAUGGGAAAAUUUCGCUUAAUUUCAAAUAUAACUAUCGUAUGCCAUUAUACCAGUUUUAAUAAUACAAUAAAAUUACAUAUUUAAUUGAAUAUUUUCGUAUAUAUUUUGCAAAUAUGAUAAUCUUCUCU
This is a long non-coding RNA of Bactrocera tryoni, 1276 nucleotides long. RefSeq lists it as uncharacterized. The record is from RefSeq and is a predicted model, not a curated record. The transcript has 4 exons. NCBI's taxonomy places the organism in Eukaryota, Metazoa, Arthropoda, Insecta, Diptera, Tephritidae.